This 4779-nucleotide long non-coding RNA is filed under the name Trifolium pratense (red clover). RNAcentral's name for it is "long non-coding RNA (TPRA_LNC001585)". The record is from RNAcentral. Lineage: Eukaryota; Viridiplantae; Streptophyta; Magnoliopsida; Fabales; Fabaceae.
GUGCUAUAGCCUCAACUUCAACUUCAUUUUCACUAAGCCUUAAGAAAAAGUUACAACAAGAGCACAUUUUUUCAGCUGGAAUUUUCUCAUUCAAACCUUCAAAAAAACCAAAAUUUUGUGACCAAAAACAUAGUACUACUCAAAACCUUAAAAAACAACUUAGUCAUGUGAAAAAUUUGGAACAAUCAAAAUUUUCAAACAAAAAGAAAGUACCUCAUGAGAUUAAAGAUUUCUUCUUUUUUCCUCCAAAUCCAUUUUUUCCACCACCUAUUAUCCCUAAUCCAUUUCAACCUCCAUUGAUUCCUAAUCCAUUUACACCUCCACCAUUGAUUCCUAACCCUUUAAACCCUCCACCUUUGAUUCCUAAUCCAUUUCAACCACCAAGUCCACCAUUGAUUCCUAACCCUUUUCAACCACCAAGUCCACCACCUUUGAUUCCUAAUCCAUUUCAACCACCAAGUCCACCACCACUUAUUCCAAAUCCAUUUCAACCUCCUCCAUCAAGUCCACCACCACUCAUUCCAAAUCCAUUUCAACCACCACCAUCAAGUCCACCACCAUUUUUUCCUUUUCCACCAGUAGUAAUACCAGGAUUAACUCCAUCACCACCGCCGCCGCCACCACCAAAAUCAAUUUUCCCCUUUCCUCUUCCUCCACUAUUCCCACCUCCUCAUAGCCCUGGCUCACCCCCUACUUCUUUAAGUCCUUGAUUAUAAACAUAUUAUAUAAUUAUAGUUUUAAAUUGCGAUCUACGACUACAAUAUAACAGUUUUAGAGGUCUCUACAAAAACAUUCGAUAUUCGAAUGACAAUUGUUGUUGCAUUUGCAUGCAAUAUAAAGGUUAAUAGUGCAACUGCGACUGCAAUUUAAAACUAUGAUGGUAUUAAUGUUUAAUUCAUUUUGUUUUAUUAUGGUAUAGUAUAGUUAGCUAAAUAUGGGAAUGAGUAUGUCACAUAUGUAGUGACUUAUGCACAAAAAGAAGUUGAUACAUUAUUGAUCGAUAUGAUUGUAAUUAGUAAUAUAGAUAUAAGAAUAUUAUAUCUUAGAGCUUAUAUUGUAAUUUUUUGAGUGUGUAAUUUUUACCCUUGAAUUGCUCUAUAAAUGGACUAUUAUGAUUUUGAUAUGAAUAUAUAUUUAAAUGUUUGAACACAAGUUGCUGAAGAUUAUAUGUCUAAAUAAGGUUAAUGAGAAAGACCAAAUUCAGAAAUGUAUGGAAGUGUGAGAAUUUUAAAGCAUAAUUCAAAUGUUUAUUUUAUUUAGUAAGGAAUGAUAAAUUUCUGUUGUGCAAUGAUAGUAUACUAUAUAUGCAUCUAUGUGAAUAAUGGUGUUAGUUGAUUAUUGACAAAACUUUACUAAAUUUUAUAUAUUUAAAGUGUUUUGAAAAAAUUGGACAUCUUUAGAAGUUGAGCUAAACAUAUUAUUUGAACCACAAAAGUAGUAAAAAAAAAAAACUGUCUAAUAAAAGGAAAACUUCAUGAUAAUAUGUUACUUAGAAAUUACUAUAAAUUAGGAUCAUAAUUUGUUAGCAAUGUUGUUCUAAACUUUAAGGAUGCACAACUUUAAGUCAAGCCCUAAAACCAGUCUAUUUAACAAUGAUGUACAAGUUAUAACUUGAAGAGAAAAAUGAACUACAACAAAAUGAAUUUCCUAUAUUGUUGGCGGAUGCUAUGGUGGGCAAGUUAAGCAAACUGUCCACCGUGUGCGAGUUUUGUGAACCGUCAGAUGAGUAAUAUUUGAGAAUUGACGGAUUUAAGAUGUACCGCCAAUACCUUGCGCAUACUCUUUAAAUCAUUGCCAAGCUUGGGAUGUAUGGCUCACCAAAUAGGUGUGAGACUAUACUCUUUAGGAGUAACAAAAAUACAUUGAUUAGAAUUUAUCCUUUACCUCAAACUUAUAUUGACUUGUAUCGUCAGUUAUCAUUAACGCUCAGAUUCCAACUUCCAACUCGGAGCAUACUUCCACGGAUUACCCCAUUAAGUUAGAAACCAGUUGGGCAUAUUCCAAAUGGUUACAUUUGCUGUUAUUAUUUGUGAGCAAUUUAAUGGCUUAAAGUAAACCAUAAUAGCUUAUCAUCAAUUUCCCACAGUCAAGCUACAUAAUUGCCACGUUCUGUUUAAGUAUUAUCGACAUCAUCGGUUCAGGUUCAUACAAACAAAUGACUUCAAACAUGCUAGACCAUGUCAAAGUAACACAUCUUUUUAUAAUAACAACUUUUGCUUCAAUUUUGUGUAUUUUAUUUUGGUGCAAGGGAUUGUGUACACAAUCACUUCUAAAGAUUGAGGAGUCAUGUGUUCAAUGGGUUUACAUCAACUAUACAACCAAGUGAAAACUACUCGUACAAUUUUAGUUGAUUACGACUUAAAUUGAUAAAGAGAAAACAAUUUCACAAUUAUUGUGAGUUCGACACAAACUGAGGCCUCCAUUUUAAAAUUAUGUAAGGAUUAAACUUAAAAGGAUCCAUUUUAGAGGACCAAAAAUAUAUUUAACCCUACAUUAACUACAAAAAGAGACAUUAGUAUUAAUCUAUGAUGCAUGAGUACUCCAUUUUAGACAGAGUAUCGGUAUCGGUACGCGUACGGUACUCCCUCAGUACGCACACUCAGAGUACCUUCUUUUUUUUUUAGGCGGAUACGCGCGUGAUACUCUCGAGGUACGCAUGUAAUUCUCUCGGGGUAGGCGUGUGGUACGGAUUUCAUCAAAAAUUGUUCUCAUUCUUCUGCUUCUUUUUUUUUGCAACAAUUUUCAAUCCCAUUCUUUUUUUAUUUGUUUAUAUUUUAAUAAAGAUUCACUUUAGUUUAAAAUUAGAACCGAUUUAGUUUCCUUCCCUUUUUAAUUCUUUUUAAAAGCAGAGCCGCAUACUACAACUACUCCUAAUUUCCUAAAGUGUAAACCACAAUAUAACUACUUUCUAUGUUUCCUAUUUUAGAGCCUAUUUUUUGGCAUUUGUAAGCGGGGUUUGAGCUAUUUUUUGGUAUACGUCCACCAGAAAUGGUGGCUAUGGAGGUCAGGUUAAACAUGGUUUCUCGAGAAGGUGGUGCUCCUCCUUUCUAUUUUUGAAAAGAAAAGAUGCUUUCUUUGGAAGAAAUGGGUUAGAUUCUGAUUUUUCUAAGUAAAUCAGCUCACAGACGGCGCAACUGAACUGGUUGUUCAGAAAUUAUUUGUCUUAGCUCUUCGUGAUUCAGCUGAAGUGAACACGAACGGUGUUGUUGAGAUGUUGGUGGAGUGAAUUCUUUGGUCUUUGUAGGGGANNNNNNNNNNNNNNNNNNNNNNNNNNNNNNNNNNNNNNNNNNNNNNNNNNNNNNUAAGGGAAAAGGUACUUGCAAGAUUGUUAGCACUAUGACGCUCAAGUCAGUAUUUGAAUGAGGUGAUAAAGAGUGAGUAAAUGGAGGCGCGAAUCUUUUCAUACCUAGGGACAUUGAUGUAUGAAUGCUUAUAUAUAGGAGAGUAUUAUGAUUUUACAGUAUAGUGGGACCCCCCAUGUGCAGAGGAUCGGCCACAUAUAACAUCUGGAUUGUCCUUUGCAAUGGAGCACGUUAGGACGUUGUGGGCGUUGGCCUCUGUCCGUGCUCGUUGCUUUGGUUCUGUGGUCACUAUGCCACAUGAUUAUUCUUAUCCCAUUAUGAUGUGUUGGGCUUUUAGCCGAUCCGGAACAUUUUUUUACAAGGAUAAUUGUAUCAUUUAAAUAUGAUUUAUCGUAUUAUUAUGAGGUAUGCAUAAAAACAUGAUACGAUAGUUAUCGUAUUUGUUAUCUUGUGUGCACCAAACACAUGACAGGAUAACUGUUAUUCUCCUUAUAUUAUAUCUUAUCAUUAUGCUAAUUUUUAUUUUAUCGUAUCAUUAUCAUAUCCUGCGCACCAAACGGACCCUUAAUAUAAAUAUGUGAUUUGGUUGGUUAUAUAUGAAGUAUGUUUAUGGAUUAUUUCUGUGUUUAAUGAUUUUCCGAUGUUAAACUCUAAAAUUGAUCUUUUGAUUUAUAAAGUGUUUGAGAAACACUUUCCAUUUAAAUGAAAUGGACCAAAUUCAUAUGCAAAACAAACAAUUUCCUUCUUACAAGCUUAAAACAACUAAAAAUUUGUGAAGGGAUAAAACUAAUAUACUUACCGUUGCACUAAGGAUAGGCUCAAUCCCCGUUUGUCAUUCACCCAACCCAAUUCAUCAAUUUUAAAAUGGGCGAAAAAAUCAAUAAAAAUAGAUGUUGAACAAAAAACCGGCCCAACUCACCGAUUAAAAACAAACAAUAAUAAUAAUAAUAAUAAUAAUAAUAAUAAUAAUAAUAAUAAUAAUAAUAAUAAUAAUAAUAAAGUGUGGUCUUGCUCACAUCAACUUAGUCAACACAAUUAAUAGUAAAAAAAGUCAUCAUCAAUAAAUUCUAGUCAACCGCUCAUAUUUAUAAUAUCAACGAGCAUAAUAGAAUUGGUAAAAAUUUCUUGACAAAAAAAAAUUGGUCUAAGUUGGAUCAAAAAAGUUUUGGUCAAAAAGAAAGUUGGGCCAAAAGUUUAAAGUUACAAAUUAGAAAAACUAUAUAUAGACCCUCACAUUUACUUAGAAGCAUAACUCAAUUUUGCAUUUUCUUUCUGAAAUAUCAAAUCUCAUCAGAAUGUAUUGGUUCCUUACAAUUUUGUUUCUCAGUCUCACAUCCGGUAUUAAUCUUUCAGAAGCCAACCAUGACAAUAAGAAUGUUUUAUCUCAUGAGAUUAAUAAAGAUUUCUUUUUUCCACCACCUAUUAUACCUAAUCCAUUUCAACCUCCACCUUUGAUUCCUAACCCUUUUCAACCACC